This 401-nucleotide unclassified non-coding RNA is filed under the name soil metagenome. RNAcentral's name for it is "partial contains 5.8S ribosomal RNA, internal transcribed spacer 2, and large subunit ribosomal RNA". The stretch from base 1 to 121 matches the Rfam family "5.8S ribosomal RNA", at positions 35 to 154 of the family's 154-position model. The record is from RNAcentral.
GAUGAAGAACGUAGCGAAAUGCGAUAAGUAAUGUGAAUUGCAGAAUUCAGUGAAUCAUCGAAUCUUUGAACGCACCUUGCGCCCCUUGGUUAUUCCAAAGGGCAUGCCUGUUUGAGUAUCAUGAACACCUCAACUCUUGUGGUUUCCCACAAUGAGCUUGGACUGUGGAGGUUUUGUUGGCCCUGUGGUCAGCUCCUCUCAAAUGGAUCAGCUUACCGGUGUUUGGUGGCAUUACGGGUGUGAUAACUAUCUACUCUCGUGGUCGUCUCCAAAUAACCUCCAGUGAUGGAGGUUCGCUGGAGCUUAUAAAUGUCUCUCCCCAGUGAAGACAGCCUUUGAACGUUCGAUCUAAAAUCAGGUAGGACUACCCGCUGAACUUAAGCAUAUCAAUAAGCGGAGGA